Molecule: long non-coding RNA, 1822 nt
Organism: Pyrus x bretschneideri (Chinese white pear)
Lineage: Eukaryota; Viridiplantae; Streptophyta; Magnoliopsida; Rosales; Rosaceae
Exons: 2
Source: RefSeq, a predicted model, not a curated record
UUUCAUUCUUCUAUACCACCCCGAGUCUUCUAGUCUUCCAGUUGGAGUUGUUUGUUUGUAGUCCGUGAAUGAUCGAUACUCGUUCCUCACAAAGGUAGCUUGUGGAAUUCGAACCAAAGAUUGAACGAAAGCGUAGGCAAAUUCGCAAGGAACAAAGAGCAUGGAUGGCUAAGGAGAAACAAGAACAAGUAGAGAUGGCUGCGAACGGCAAUAACGGUGGUGUUCCUCGAAACAUUUAAGAUUUCUCUAUGCCGCAAUUUUCUUCUCGACAAUCAUGCAUAGUUUAUCCUGAAAUUGAUGGUACUUCUUCUUAUGAGAUCAAAGAUUAUGUUAUUAAAAUGUUGCCCAAGUUUUCUGGAGAUGAGAAUCAAGAUGCUAGUGAACAUGUAGACAACUUUCUGGAUAUUUGUGGGAUACAGAAUAUUAAAGGUGUCUCCGAUGAGUUCACUCGCCUAAAGUUUUUCCCUUUUUCUUUCAAGGGCGAUGCUAGAACAUGGUUCAAGACUCUGCCAGCAAGAUCAAUUAACUCUUGGACUCAACUUUCUAGUAAGUUCAUUCAAAAGUUUUACACUCAGUCUAGAACUCAGAGGUUGAGAGAUUCAAGGCUUUGAUAAUCAGUUGUCCGCACCAUCAGUUUCUACCAUGGCAAUUAAUUUUAUACUUCUACCCGCACUUGAGUGAUGAAUGCCGCCAUAGAUUGGAUGCUACAGCUGAUGGAAAUAUCUUGGGUAAAGAACCAGAGUAAGCAACUACUAUCAUUGAAAAUGUUACAAAUUCAUCUCAAUGGGAUAGUAAAGAGUUAACUCCGAAUUCUACCUAUGAAGUAAGUUCAUCUAAUGAGGUGGCUGUACUAUCAAGGAAAUUAGAUGUUGUGGUGAAUAUGUUAUCGAAAAAUGCAGAACCGUGUGCGAUUUGUGUUGAUCAUACCCAUCCUACUCAUUUUUGUCCUCAAAGUGGUACUUGUCUAGAAGUGGAGGAGACUAAUCAAGUCAAUGCAUUUAACCAUCAAAGAAACAACCCUUUUCUCAAAUACUAAUAAUCCAGGGUGGAGAGACCAUCCUAAUUUAGCUUGGAAGAAUAAUUUCAGCCAAGGGUCCAAGCCAUGGCAACAAGGAGCAGUAUCUAUAGAAACCAAGAAACCUUCUUGGGAAGAAGCAUUAGCUCAGAUGGUUUAAGCUAAUACAGAAUAUAUAAAGACCACCUCUUAACUUUUGCAAACUCUCAUCGAAGGGCAGCAAAUAAAUAGUCAAGUCAUCGGCAAAUUGGAAGCACAAAUCGGUCAAAUCGUUACUGCAGUGAGUGAAAGAGAACCGGGGCGUUUUCCAAGUCAACCCGAAGCCAACCCAAGAGGCAAGGAGAAAGUUAAUGCCAUUAGAACAUCAAGGAGUGGUAAGACUUAUGAUAGCAGGGAAGAAAUCGCUGAAACAAAGGACCAAGAAGAGAAGGACAAAGAAGCAAUUCCACUACCUUCUUCGCCACUUGCUGCUCCUGCUCUAAAGUUGAAGAAUUAUGAUCCACCUAUGCCUUUCCCGCAGACAUUUCAAAGGCAAAGAAAGGACAAGCAUAUGUUAGAUAUAUUGGAGGAAUUUAAAAAGAUUCAAAUCAACAUUCCAUUACUCGAUGCUAUAGCACAAAUUCCAUCAUACGCGAAGUUUUUGAUCUUUGCACAAACAAGAGAAAAUUUACAGACCAUGAGAAGAUUGAGCUUACAAAUUGUUGCAGCGAAGUUUUUAUCACUAAACUGCCUCCAAAAUUUCAAGAUCCAGGGAGUUUCACUAUCUCGUGUGUUAUUGAUGAUUUUAAAUUUAAUAAAGCUUUCUUA